This 206-nucleotide microRNA precursor is filed under the name Oryza nivara. RNAcentral's name for it is "MIR812 microRNA precursor family". It matches the Rfam family "MIR812 microRNA precursor family". The record is from Rfam by way of RNAcentral. Lineage: Eukaryota; Viridiplantae; Streptophyta; Magnoliopsida; Poales; Poaceae.
AAAAAGACAAACCCUGAUUUCCAUGUCCAAUGUUUGACCGUCCGUUGUAUUUAAAAAAAAAUAUGAAAAAAAUUAAAAAGACAAGUCACACAUAAAAUAUUAAUCAUAUUUUAUCAUCUAACAAAAAUAAAAAUAUGAAUUAUAAAAAAAUUUUAUAUAAGACGGACAGUCAAAGUUAGAUAUGGAAAUUUAGGGUUUGUCUUUUU